RNAcentral lists this long non-coding RNA (472 nucleotides) under Mytilus galloprovincialis (Mediterranean mussel). The record is from RNAcentral. Lineage: Eukaryota; Metazoa; Mollusca; Bivalvia; Mytilida; Mytilidae.
CUGGUACCUUUUGUAAGCUAUAAUUGGAGUGUUUCUCUGUCCUAUAUGUUCUAUCAUUUAUUUGUAUUGUAGUCUUGUCAAGUAAUGUUGCCUUUGACUGAUAUAUUUACCAUUGCCGUAGAAGAGGGAGGUUUGGCAUGCAAAAAAACGGGUUCAUCUUACCAUUUUUUUCUUAAAAUCUCCUGUGCCAAGUCCGGAAAAUGGCCAUUGUUAAAUUGUGAUUCGCUUCUGUGUGUGUUAAAGUUUAAUUUUGUGUUGCUGACAUUGUGUCGUAGUUUUCCUCUUAUAUUUGAUGUGUUUCCCUCAGUUUUAGUUUGUAGUCUGAAUUUGUUUUUUCUCAAUCAACUUAUGAAUUUCGACAACGGUUUACUACUGUUGCUUUUAUUGGAGACAUAUUUGCAAUUUAUUGGUAAGACUGUUUAUUCAUAUACAGAAAACUUUGUGAUGUAUUGUAUAAAUCAAAAUAUUCAAC